GCUGAAAUCAAUUGAAAAUUGAAGGAAAACCUCAAAUAAAACAAUUUCAAUAUCUGCAUCAUAAAAGAUGUUUUAAUUAAUUAAAAAAAAGAAAUCAUCAUUCUCGACAGAAAUUAUUUAUUACAUUGGUUUAUUGUUGGUAUUAUACAUUGGAAUGAAAUUUCCUAAUUGUUACCCUAAAUUCACUAAACGCACACACACACAGAAGAACGAAGGAAAGAAACAGAGAAGAGAGAAGGGGGAGCUCGAAGGGGGAAGAAGAGAGAUCGAGAAAGGGAGAUGGAGAGCUCGAGAGUCAGGGAGUAAGGGAAUGGGAGAAGGACGCUGCGACGAUCAAGAAGGCUUCGACUUCGUCAUCCUCGUGCAUCCGUCGCUGCUACCAUCAUCAAUUGAGGCUGCUGCGCGUGGAGAGAAGGGGAGACGACGCCGCUGGCUCUGUCUGGGAUCGCCGCCGCCGUUCAAGCCACUACAAGAGAAAAACGCCGCUGCGUGAAGGGAGGUUAUGAGCGAAGUAGAACGCGUACAGGAAGAAGGAGAGCACGACGACUAGAAGGAGGCAGCGCCGCUGCCGUUGCUGCUAGGGCUUGUCGCUGGAAUUCCUGGUCGCCGCUGUCCUUACUGGUGAGUCAAUUGUGCCCUAGCUACUAGAGUUACCAUUUCUGAACCCUUGUCGCUUUGAAAUGAUCCUGUCUCUGCCUCUAAUAUUCCUAAUUAUGCUGUAUUCGUUGGAAUCGCCACAAUUGGAGCUCGUCGCUGGAGUAGACAAAUUGUUGCGCCAUCCUUUUGACUCUGAACCUCUAUUCAUAACCCUUGAAACCAGAAAUAAAUGAGAAAGAGAAUGCAAUGAAGAGUGAGAUCUUUCACUGAAUAUCAUCCCGUUUUUUUUCCACUGGAGAGCAUCCACUCCCCUGCAAGUGUGAUCAUGAUUGGUGCUGCUGCCGCGUCCGGAUUACGUUGGAAUUUUCGCUGCUGCUGUGAAUUCAAAAAGAGCAGGUUUAUCGUGGUUAAUUCCUUCGGGUUUAGCUAAUCGAUGCAGGGAGUUUAAUUUAAAUGAUUUUAAUUUAAGAAUGUAUACAAAGUUUAUUGAAUAACUGCAAAUAGAUUUAAUUAUUGUGAGUAAUUGAUUGAUUAUAUGGAUGUU
Arachis duranensis is the source of this 1141-nucleotide long non-coding RNA. RefSeq lists it as uncharacterized. The transcript is spliced from 2 exons. NCBI's taxonomy places the organism in Eukaryota, Viridiplantae, Streptophyta, Magnoliopsida, Fabales, Fabaceae. The record is from RefSeq and is a predicted model, not a curated record.